CAGCCGCCGCGGGAAUACGUAGGGUGCGAGCGUUAAUCGGAAUUACUGGGCGUAAAGCAAGCGCAGACGGUUAUUUAAGCAGGAUGUGAAAUCCCCGGGCUUAACCUGGGAACUGCGUUCUGAACUGGAUAGCUAGAGUGUGUCAGAGGGGGGUAGAAUUCCACGUGUAGCAGUGAAAUGCGUAGAGAUGUGGAGGAAUACCGAUGGCGAAGGCAGCCCCCUGGGAUAACACUGACGUUCAUGCUCGAAAGCGUGGGUAGCAAACAGGAUUAGAUACCCCUGUAGUCCCUGUCUCUUAUAC
RNAcentral lists this ribosomal RNA (301 nucleotides) under uncultured bacterium. Its description in RNAcentral is "partial 16S ribosomal RNA". It matches the Rfam family "Bacterial small subunit ribosomal RNA", at positions 509 to 807 of the family's 1533-position model. The record is from RNAcentral.